This 212-nucleotide unclassified non-coding RNA is filed under the name soil metagenome. RNAcentral describes it as "partial contains 5.8S ribosomal RNA, internal transcribed spacer 2, and large subunit ribosomal RNA". The record is from RNAcentral.
AAGACUAUAGACCUGCGGAGUACCUGCGGAAGGAUCAUUACAUGAUUUGAGGGGGCUCACGUCCCCUCAUCCAACCCACAAACCCCGAGGAACUUUUAUGUCGAGUGGUUCGGCGCUCUCUUUGAGAGCCGCCCCUCAAACGCAUCGCAGGCUUUUCGUGAAGGUCUGAUGUGUCACAUCGUGAGUAUUAAAACUUUUAGCAACGGAUCUCU